Molecule: ribosomal RNA, 386 nt
Filed under: uncultured bacterium
Lineage: Bacteria
Description: bacterial SSU rRNA
Rfam family: Bacterial small subunit ribosomal RNA
Source: RNAcentral
GACGAACGCUGGCGGCGUGCUUAACACAUGCAAGUCGAGCGGUAAGGCCCUUUCGGGGGUACACGAGCGGCGAACGGGUGAGUAACACGUGGGUGACCUGCCCUCAGCUCUGGGAUAAGCCUGGGAAACUGGGUCUAAUACCGGAUAUGACUCCAUGACGCAUGUUGUGGGGUGGAAAGCCUUGUGCGGCUGAGGAUGGGCCCGCGGCCUAUCAGCUUGUUGGUGGGGUGAGGCCUACCAAGGCGACGACGGGUAGCCGGCCUGAGAGGGCGACCGGCCACACUGGGACUGAGACACGGCCCAGACUCCUACGGGAGGCAGCAGUGGGGAAUCUUGCGCAAUGGGCGAAAGCCUGACGCAGCGACGCCGCGUGAGGGAUGACGGCC